CAUAAUCAAAAGAAAGUUGUGUUCGCUUUUUUAAAUGACUGUGGUCCUAAUCCUGCAAACACUUGCAUAACUUUAAUUGCAUGCUUACAGCUCCAUAACUUCAAUGGGACUAGCUGUGUAAGUAAAUUCAGGCAGGCACAUACCUGUUUGCAAGACCAGGGGCUUUGCUUGUUUUAUAGAGUCCAUUUCAGAGAAAAAAGGCUACUUUAAUUUGAUUUAGUUUAAUUUAAUUUAUACCACAGGGCUGGCCAAACUUAUUGGCCCUCCGAGCUGCAUAUGACAAUCUUCAGAAGUUUGAGAGCUGGGGUCCACCUGCUGGGGCUCAGGGCUUCAGCUCCGCGGGAGGCGCCUGCCGGAACUCCAGGCUUCAGGCCCCAUGGCGCUUCAGUUACACUAAUGUGACUGCAUGCAGAGUCCUGAGCAUUACUCCCAGAUCUGCUCUGGACUUUUGUGAUGUGGGGCAAGUCACUUAUCACUCUGUAAAAAUGCAAAUAAUACCUUACAGGUCAUUCUGGGCAACUGUGAGGCAUAACUAUUGUCCAUUAUCUUUGAAAACUCAUGGCGAUCCGGGGAAGUCUCGGACGACUGGAAAAAGGCUAAUGUAGUGCCCAUCUUUAAAAAAGGGAAGAAGGAGGAUCCUGGGAACUACAAGCCAGUCAGCCUCACCUCAGUCCCUGGAAAAAUCAUGGAGCAGGUCCUCAAGGAAUCAAUUCUGAAGCACGUAGAUGAGAGGAAAGUGAUCAGGAAUAGUCAGCAUGGAUUCACCAAGGGCAAGUCAUGCCUGACUAAUCUAAUUGCCUUCUAUGACGAGAUAACUGGUUCUGUGGAUGAAGGGAAAGCAGUGGACGUGGUGUUCCUUGACUUUAGCAAAGCUUUUGACACUGUCUCCCACAGUAUUCUUGUCAGCAAGUUAAAGACGUAUGUGCUGGAUGAAUGCACUAUAAGGUGGGUAGAAAAUUGGCUAGAUUAUCGGGCUCAACAGGUAGGGAUCACUGGCUCCAUGUCUAGUUGGCAGCCAGUAUCAAGCGGAGUACCCCAAGGGUCGGUCCUGGGGCCAGUUUUGUUCAAUAUCUUCAUUAAUGAUCUGGAGGAUGGUGUGGAUUUCACCCUCAGCAAGUUUGCAGACGACACUAAACUGGGAGGAGUGGUAGAUACGCUGGAGGGUAGGGCUAGGAUACAGAGGGCCCUAGGCAAAUUGGAGGAUUGGGCCAAAAGAAAUCUGAUGAGGUUCAGCAAGGACAAGUGCAGAGUCCUGCACUUAGGAUGGAAGAAUCCAAUGCACCGCUACACACUAGGGACCGAAUGGCUAGGCAGCAGUUCUGCAGAAAAGGACCUAGGGGUUACAGUGGACGAGAAGCUGGAUAUGAGUCAACAGUGUGCCCUUGUAGCCAAGAAGGCCAAUGGCAUUUUGGGAUGUAUAAGUAGGGGCAUUGCCAGCAGAUCGAGGGACGUGAUUGUUCCCCUCUAUUCGACAUUGGUGAGGCCUCAUCUGGAGUACUGUGUCCAGUUUUGGGCCCCACACUACAAGAAGGAUGUGGAAAACUUGGAGAGAGUCCAGCGGAGGGCAACAAAAAUGAUUAGGGGACUGGAACACAUGACUUAUGGGGAGAGGCUGAGGGAACUGGGAUUGUUUAGUCUACAGAAGAGAAGAAUGAGGGGAGAUUUGAUAGCUGCUUUCAACUACUUGAAAGGUGGUUCCAAAGAGGAUGGAUCUAGACUAUUCUCAGUGGUAGCGGAUGACAGGACAAGGAGUAAUGGUCUCAAGUUGCAGUGGGGGAGAUUUAGGUUGGAUAUUAGGAAAAACUUUUUCACUGGGAGGGUGUUGAAACACUGGAAUGCGUUACCUAGGGAGGUGGUGGACUCUCCUUCCUUAGAAGUUUUUAAGGUCAGGCUUGACAAAGCCCUGGCUGGGAUGAUUUAAUUGGGGAUCGGUCCUGCUUUGAGCAGGGGGUUGGACUAGAUGACCUCCUGAGGUCUCUUCCAAGCCUGAUAUUCUAUGAUUCUAUGAUUCUAUGAACUAAUGCUUAUAAAGCACUGGGAUGAAAGGUGCUAUAGCAAUGCAAAGCAUUAUGGGCCAUAUUCUGCCAUCAUGCUCAAGUUGAGUAGAACCUUGUUCCGUGAAUCUCACUGAAAUCGAGGGACUGUUUGUUGAGUAAAUACUAUAAGUGUGGAGUUUGCAAACAGGGGCAAAUGUAGCCUCCCAGUUCAGUGGCUGCACCAUCCCCUUCCAGGAGUCCCUGCCUGCUUCCACCCCACUUCUCACCCCCCUACUCUCUCCCACUCCCCAGUGGGCAGCCCUGCCUGUGUGAAUGUGCAUUCAGGCCUGAUUUCUGUGGGUGCACUUGCACCCGUGGACCCUGUCUAGAGCAGCCACUGGUUUGCAUGUUGAAAAAGGACAUGAAGGGCCUGAUUUUCUUCUCAUUCCGUCUACACUGGUGUAACUAGGGUUGCCAACACUGUAUUUCAGAAAUACUGGACAGUUUUCUUAGUACCACCCUGCUCCUCACCCCCCUUGUUGGCUCAUGUCUGUUCCACUUCAUGGUCCUCGGCACCGAGAUGAGUCCUCACUCUGUGCCCUCCCAGAAGCCUUUGCCUCCCCCUCCCAGGUCCCUACUCCUUACCUCACCCCAGUGAUGAGCUGCCAGAAGCUGAAGAACCGGUUCCUUCAGUCACUCCGGGUCUUCGGCAGCACUGAAGGGCCCACCGCCGAAGUGCUGCUGAAGACCUGGAGCGAGUGAAUGACUUGCCGCCGAAGACCCGGAGCGACUGAAGGACAUGCUGCUGAAGUGCUGUCGAAGGACUGCAGAGCCGCCAGGUGAGUAGAGCUCAGGCGGGACGGACAGGAUGGUCCCGCAGGCCGCAUGUGGCCUGCGGGCUGGAGUUCGCCGAACCCCUUUAACAACCGGUUCUAAACCGGCUGCAAAAUUUAACAACCGAUUCGCGCGAACUGGUGCAAACCGACUUCAGCUCACCACUGCCCCUCCCUACUGGUGAACCUCAGAUCCGUCUCACUUCCCAGGGAGCCAGCAAGAUUUUAGGAGCUGAGAGCCCGGGACCAGCACACAGAUCAGGGCCCGGGGUACUGCCCUGGCUGUGCUGCCAUCCACGUGAGACUGUGACAUGUUUGGUAUCGCUGCCAGGGCAUGCAUGCUUGCAGCUUAUGUUCUGGGUUUUUUUCACUGGGACCAGCAUUCCCUUAGUGGAUCCCAGUGAAAAAAUAAAUGACACAUUUUCACCGCACUCGGCAUGGCUGUACAAAAACUGGCCAGGAGGCAAUCCUAGUUGAAAUAUGGGAUCAAAGGCAACCCAAACUGAUUAAAGAACAUAUUGCCUGUCCCAUACUUAAAUAAAGGACAUCCCUUACAAUAUGGGGCAACUGUAGGUGUAAUUACCUGGCCUCCAGUGGAGUUACUCCCAGUUUACACUUGUGUGAGAGGAGAAUCAAAGUCCUUAAGAAAAAGCUGAGGCCUAAUGACUUGUAUUGAAUUUCUCUGCUCUUGCAAAAUCUAUGUUUCUGAAAAAUAGUUUGGCUAAAAAUUUCUUUGAGGGAGGAAAAAAGGCUCAUGAAAAGCCAACUACUGAAGAAACAUUUCCUGCCUGCCAAGGCUCUGAACAGCUCCUUUUCUGUAGCUGUCUGAAAAUGUUUUAGUCCUGAAGGAAAAAAACUCUGCAGAUCAUUCAUUUCCAGGAACUGACACUAGGGGGAGUAAAACAGAAUAAAAGGUUGGAGAGAAGUAAAGAAACCAUAGAAGAGUUAAAGGAAGAAAAGAAUCCGUGUUUUGAUGGGUUGAUUCUUUGAGUGAGCACUUUUGGAUGGCUGCUCCUGUACUCACACUCCCUGUCUCAUUCUUUUACACUUUGCAGGUCACACGUGGAAUCAGCUGCGAUCAGAGAAGAAGUCGAUUUAUAAGAACAGCAAAAUACAACUGACCUCCAGCCAUUUUGGAAUGGGGUACAUUCAGACUGGACAUUUAACUACUGCUGUACCUGAUCUCUGCAUCAAUGAAGACCUUCGUCCACGGGGCUCUCUCAGCAGCCCCAAAUUCGUUUUUUUGAAAAAGUGAACCAAGUGACUGAUUACAGGAAAGGCUUUAUAGUGUGCACAACCUAAGGUUAUCUCUGCACUCAGAAAACAUUGUGCACUCAUAUUAUGUGCCUGAGGGGAAUGCAUGAUGGAAAUACACAUGAGAUGGGCUUUGUUCAUGAACAGGUCCUGUUUGGGCUAUGAUAAGUAUAUGAUUUUUUUUAAAUGAAUGAAAUCAAAGGUGCCCCAAAACUAGAGAUGGGUUCAAGCAGCAACAUUCAUCUGCAUUGACAUUGCAAGCACCUCAGAGAUGGGGCUGAAGGGAGAGAAAAUGGCAAGAGGGGUUGCUCAGCCCAGUGCAAAUAUAGGGGCCAUUUGGAAAAUGUGGAGUAAGGUUUAGUUUUUGAACACCAGCCCCUUGAUGCAAAAGCUACGGGUGUUCUGAUUUGGGGCCUCAAUUCUGUACCUGAACUAGAAGGUAGAGAAAGGGGAUUACUCAUGAUCUUUCUUUAAUAUAUAUUUAGGACCCUUUGUUUUCAUUUUUUAUUUUAUUUUUUUUUCCUGGGAAUUUAUCAGUGUUUAUUACCAUAACAACAAAAGCAGGUGAAAAUCAGUGCAAAAAACUAUUAUGAAUUUUUUUU
Non-coding RNA from Caretta caretta (loggerhead turtle), 4665 nucleotides. NCBI's taxonomy places the organism in Eukaryota, Metazoa, Chordata, Testudines, Cheloniidae. The record is from RefSeq and is a predicted model, not a curated record.